CGUGUAGGCGGCCUGAUGUGUCAGAUGUGAAAGCCCUGGGCUUAACCCAGGAAGUGCAUUUGAAACUGUCAGGCUUGAGUAGGGGAGAGGGAAGUGGAAUUCCUGGUGUAGAGGUGAAAUUCGUAGAUAUCAGGAGGAACACCGGUGGCGAAGGCGACUUCCUGGCCCUAUACUGACGCUGAGACGCGAGAGCGUGGGUAGCAAACA
Molecule: ribosomal RNA, 207 nt
Filed under: uncultured delta proteobacterium
Lineage: Bacteria; Deltaproteobacteria
Description: partial 16S ribosomal RNA
Rfam family: Bacterial small subunit ribosomal RNA
Source: RNAcentral